Long non-coding RNA from Hypomesus transpacificus, 995 nucleotides. RefSeq lists it as uncharacterized. The transcript has 3 exons. Lineage: Eukaryota; Metazoa; Chordata; Actinopteri; Osmeriformes; Osmeridae. The record is from RefSeq and is a predicted model, not a curated record.
UUUGGCAGGGUAGGCAGUGCCUACCUUGCCUACCCUGACUGCACGUCACUGAUGUGCAGAGGUUGGAGGAGGAGAUCCGGAAGCUGCAGGAGGCCAAGGAUGAAGCCGAGCAGAAGCUGUGGGACGUGAGUCUGGAGUCCCAGCAGAUCUAUGAGAACUUGGAGGAGGCUCACCACUGGUUUCGCUCUAACUUCGACGUCCCGAGGACCAGGACUCCGGGGGGGGGGGGGGAACCACAGCAGAGCAGGCUGCGUUCCCCAAGCAGCGCUAAAGAGGGCGAGCGCACCGCCUCUUCCAGACACCGCAGGAAGCCGGCGAGCGACAGUGUGGAACCAGACUGGCAGAGAUGGACCUCCACCAUGCACCGCUGGGAGACCAAGAGAGAGCUGGCACGCAUCGCCAAAGGAUACAAACCUGGACAGAGCAGCACAAUGACACACACACACUGACACACUCACACAUAUGCUUGCACUUUCAAGCAUAAACAUUCACACAUAAAGGACAUCAUCUAAUCACUGUGGAAAGAGGAGCGUUCUUUCGAUUUAUCGCGAACUGUUGCUCUUUGGGUGUUUGAGGAGAAAAAAAUAUCACGGUCUGUGAGACCUUAGCUGUAUUUUCGGUCUGUGAGACCCUAAGCUGAGUGUGCGGUUUUUGAGGCCUUAGUCGUGUAUUGUUGGUCCUGUUACCUAGUAGCGCUAAAACCCUGUUUUAUUAUCGUUCUGUCCGAUACACUGUAUCGUGUAUUAUUUGUUCGCCAGUUGUUCACUCGCACAGGGGGGGGCUCUGGGAUAGGCAAGCUGCCCAUGGGCUUACACACCAUCACGCAGUAAACCUCCUGUUUUGCACACUAGGUAAGGAACGGGUGCCACCCCAUGUAUGUUUAGUUAGGGAUAAUUAUGGUUUAGUAGACAGGGCACUUUUCUGGUAUUUUCUUUGGCACCGUUCGUUGUUCCAUUGUUUCUCCCCUGUGACGAAAUAAAUAUCUAUAUUUCCGA